Molecule: non-coding RNA, 389 nt
Organism: Macaca mulatta (Rhesus monkey)
Lineage: Eukaryota; Metazoa; Chordata; Mammalia; Primates; Cercopithecidae
Source: RefSeq, a predicted model, not a curated record
CAACUUACACCUCCUGGGUUCAAGCGAUUCUCCUACCUCAGCCUCCCGAGUAGCUGGGAUUACAGAACCAGCAUCAAGAAAAGUUGAUAGUUGAUACUUUAGCCACUCCCCAGCCAUCUGGAAGCUAGUUUUGGGAUCCAAACGACAUGCCAACCUCAUCACCUCUCCUUGCUGGGCUCGGGAGGCUGCCAAGGGAAAAUGCCAAGGGAAGGACAGGAAUCAACAACUGGUAUAAAAUAGGUACUUAAUGUUUAUUAAUUUACCACCCUAGGGGAAAAGCAUUCAAAAGAACUGUUUUGCAGACUUGUGCUUUGCAUGUAAUAAUCAAUAAAACUUUAUUAAUGAAUCCAGAAUUUUUUAAAAAUAAAUGAUCUCUGGAAGCUAUAUUA